RNAcentral lists this ribosomal RNA (377 nucleotides) under uncultured bacterium. RNAcentral describes it as "bacterial SSU rRNA". It matches the Rfam family "Bacterial small subunit ribosomal RNA", at positions 523 to 898 of the family's 1533-position model. The record is from RNAcentral.
AUACGGAGGGUGCAAGCGUUAAUCGGAAUUACUGGGCGUAAAGCGCGCGUAGGCGGUUAUUUAAGUCAGAUGUGAAAGCCCCGGGCUCAACCUGGGAAUUGCAUCUGAUACUGGAUGGCUAGAGUGUGGUAGAGGUGAGUGGAAUUUCAGGUGUAGCGGUGAAAUGCGUAGAGAUCUGAAGGAACAUCAGUGGCGAAGGCGACUCACUGGGCCAUUACGGACGCUGAGGUGCGAAAGCGUGGGUAGCAAACAGGAUUAGAUACCCUGGUAGUCCACGCCCUAAACGAUGUCAACUAGGUGUAUGGAGAAUUUAUUCUUUGUGUAUCGAAGCUAACGCGAUAAGUUGACCGCCUGGGGAGUACGGUCGCAAGACUAAA